UAGCUGCGAGCGAAUAGGGAAAAGCUCAGCACCGAAUCCCGCGGCCGACACCGGACGCUGGGAAAUGUGGUGUUAGGGAGGAUCCAUUUAUCUCGAAAUUUGGUGGUGCGUCCAAGUCCUUCUUGAAUGGGGCCACAGCCCAUAGAGGGUGCCAGGCCCGUAGUGACCAUUGCCAGUUGCGAGAGGAUCUCUCCUCAGAGUCGGGUUGCUUGAGAGUGCAGCCCUAAGUGGGUGGUAAACUCCAUCUAAAGCUAAAUAUAACCACGAGACCGAUAGCGAACAAGUACCGUGAGGGAAAGUUGAAAAGCACUUUGAAGAGAGAGUUCAAGAGUACGUGAAACCGUUCAGGGGUAAACCUGAGAAACCCGAAAGGUCGAAAGGGGAAAUUCAUUCGCGUCUCGUUAUUGGCAAUAGAUGUUUGUAUGACAAAUAAGGUACGCCGAAUUUGCUUCAUUCAUCUUGUUGAACUAAUAUCGAAUGCGUGCACUUUUCCCCUAGUAGGACGUCGCGAUCCGUUGAGUGUCAGUCUAAGGUCUAUGGUGGAGACUAUCUGAAUAGUAAUUAUUACUACCUUUGGAUAGACCCAUGGUAUCCCGACUGACUCGCUCGACGGUAUACAGAUGGUGCAGAGCCGCAAAAUUUAAUUUGCGUUCGGCCCAUAGCAAGCACGUGUGGAUUUAAAUUAGAAUUAUCGGACUUUGUGCCGAUUCUGAUGCCAGACGACUGUUGGCUAUGUGUGUUCUUGAACAGACUCUGAAAAUUCAUAAUGAAACACCGAUCUGCGGCGCUAUAGCUUUGGGUACUUUCAGGACCCGUCUUGAAACACGGACCAAGGAGUCUAGCAUGUGCGCGAGUCAUUGGGAAUUUAAUUAAACCUAAAGGCGUAAUGAAAGUAAAGAUUUACCUUGCGUGAAUCUAGGGAAGAUGGGUAGUUUGCCCAUAAAGUGGCUACCUCGCAUUCCCGGGGCGUCUCAUUCUCAUUAUGAGAAGAGGCGCACCAAGAGCGUACACGCUGGGACCCGAAAGAUGGUGAACUAUGCCUGGUCAGGACGAAGUCAGGGGAAACCCUGAUGGAGGUCCGUAGCGAUUCUGACGUGCAAAUCGAUCGUCGGAACUGGG
This 1119-nucleotide ribosomal RNA is filed under the name Catogenus rufus. RNAcentral describes it as "eukaryotic LSU rRNA". It matches the Rfam family "Eukaryotic large subunit ribosomal RNA", at positions 84 to 915 of the family's 3401-position model. Lineage: Eukaryota; Metazoa; Arthropoda; Insecta; Coleoptera; Passandridae. The record is from RNAcentral.